CAUCCUCAACCUUCUUGGUCUUUUAUUGACUUUAGAAGGCUUGGACUUGGGGGUUUUUGCUGGCCUUAUUUUUAAAAGCCAGCUCCUCCUAAAUGCAUUAGUAGGGUCUACAUUGUCGAUCCUCGACGUUGAUAAGAUGCUUCUACGUCUUGGUUACCUUUUGUAGCCUGCUUCUAACCGUCUCAUUGGAGACAAAGCGGCUCAAGUUUUCACUUGAACCCACAAACCA
Molecule: unclassified non-coding RNA, 229 nt
Filed under: uncultured Russula
Lineage: Eukaryota; Fungi; Basidiomycota; Agaricomycetes; Russulales; Russulaceae
Description: sequence contains ITS2
Source: RNAcentral